GGGCGGCUCCUCCCCGCGCCUCGGGCAGCUCGGGCAGCUCGGGGCCGUGCGGGGACGGCCGUGCGGGGACGGCGAGCCCCGGGCCCCGCGCCGCCCGUGUGCGGGCCGUGCGAUCGCCGCUAACGGCCGGCCCCGCUCGGUGCGUUGCAGCCGGGAGCGCCUGGCACCGCGCUGACCGUCCGCCCGUGGAGCCGGCAGCGGAGGACGAGCGGCGGCACGACGAGGACCGGCACGACGACGACGACGACGACGACGACGACGAGGACGAGCGGAGCCUGCGGACGGCCCUCAAGAAGCUGCGGCUGGACGCGGCGCGGCGGCACGAGGACGAGGAGGAGCAGCAGCAGCAGCAGCAGGACGACGACGAGGACGAGGACGACGACGACGAGGACGAGGAGGAGCGCAGCCUGCGGACGGCCCUCCAGGAGCUGCGGGUGGACGCGGCGCGGUGUGAGAGGACUGCAGGAGGACCGGCCGGUCUCUCACGGCACGGACGUUCCAGGUCUCCUGUCCUAUCCAUCUGUGAAACAGCCCUGUGCAGCCCUCCCGCAUCCCGUUCUGUGGAGGCUCACGCUUAUGUCAGUGACGUGACUGUGGAAGACCUGGCAGGGUACCUGGAACACCAUCUGCAUAUACCAAAGAAAAUGUCUGCCAUGGCAGAAAUGAUGUAUUCAUAACCAAACAUCAAAAACAGUCACAGUUCUAAGCGCUAUCAGAAAUUUAAAUGGCUCGUUUGUGCCAUAUUUGUAAUGUUCUGCUUCAUCAAAUGUUUUAUUACACGGUACAGUUUAGUUUUGUAAUUAAGAGAAAAACUGUACAUCGUUGCAUAGACUCCUGUGGCUGAAAUGAUGUAUACUUAACUGAAAGCCAUACUCAGUCACAUAGUAAUACAGUUUAUUUUUGUAACUCGAAUAAAAACUGUAUAUCGUCUC
This 932-nucleotide long non-coding RNA is filed under the name Gallus gallus (chicken). Its description in RNAcentral is "lncRNA (ENSGALG00010000337.1)". Lineage: Eukaryota; Metazoa; Chordata; Aves; Galliformes; Phasianidae. The record is from RNAcentral.